RNAcentral lists this ribosomal RNA (253 nucleotides) under uncultured bacterium. RNAcentral's name for it is "partial 16S ribosomal RNA". It matches the Rfam family "Bacterial small subunit ribosomal RNA", at positions 524 to 776 of the family's 1533-position model. The record is from RNAcentral.
UACGGGGGGGGCCAGCGUUGUUCGGAAUUACUGGGCGUAAAGGGCGCGUAGGCGGUUCGAUAAGUCAGCUGUGAAAACCAUGGGCUUAACUCAUGGCCUGCAGUUGAGACUGUCGGGCUGGAGUGUGGGAGAGGAGAGUGGAAUUCCUGGUGUAGCGGUGAAAUGCGUAGAUAUCAGGAGGAACACCGGUGGCGAAGGCGGCUCUCUGGACCACAACUGACGCUGAGGCGCGAAAGCUAGGGGAGCAAACAGG